UCGAGAUCUCUCCCUGUUUUGAUAUUUAUUGAUACUUAGUAACAAAGCUUUCUACAGGUUGGCAAAAGGAACUCUUAUUAUAAUUAUAGUUUCAAUGAGGAAGACAUAAUCUGGAAAGGAGAAGCUCAACAAUGGAGUCCUCAAAGAUUUGUUUCUGUAUUCCUCGCCACAAAAAUGGCCACAAAGCUGAUGGAGGAUUGGAGAAAUCUUCCAAAUCAAAGUCUUCUCGCUGCAAAUCUCGCCAAGGCGCAAAAGGAGGUAAGCAUUCCUCUAGUAGUGAUAGUAGUGGAAAUGGAAACACAGGUGAUGCAAGUGCAGGCAGCAGCGCUGCCGCCACUGCCGUGGCUGCUGUUGCUGUCACGGCAGUGACCACGGAUGCCUUUGAUGAUGACGGUGGCAGCACCCAUGCCCACGGUGGUGAGGGAGGCGGUGGGGGUGGUGGAGAUUAGGAAAUUGGAGGAUCGGAGUGUGUAUUUUUUUCUUUUUCCUUUUUCUCAUUGCAUCUGUUUGGUGAUCCCUUCUGCUGGUUCUUUGCUGAUAUUUGGAUGAUGUGUGGGAGUUUUAUAUUUGUUUGAAAUACAUUAUAUGAUUAUGACCAUCUGGGUCUUAGUUUCUUCUACUAUAUAUAUAUACACAAAGAAAACUUUGUAUCGUCUUG
This 658-nucleotide unclassified non-coding RNA is filed under the name Hevea brasiliensis (rubber tree). The record is from RNAcentral. Lineage: Eukaryota; Viridiplantae; Streptophyta; Magnoliopsida; Malpighiales; Euphorbiaceae.